AACGAACGCUGGCGGCAUGCCUAACACAUGCAAGUCGAACGAGACCUUCGGGUCUAGUGGCGCACGGGUGCGUAACGCGUGGGAACCUGCCUUGAGGUUCGGAAUAACUCCCGAAAGGGUGCUAAUACCGGAUAAUGUCUUCGGACCAAAGAUUUAUCGCCUUUAGAUGGGCUCGCGUUGGAUUAGCUUGUUGGUGGGUA
This 200-nucleotide ribosomal RNA is filed under the name uncultured bacterium. RNAcentral describes it as "partial 16S ribosomal RNA". It matches the Rfam family "Bacterial small subunit ribosomal RNA", at positions 29 to 258 of the family's 1533-position model. The record is from RNAcentral.